This 621-nucleotide ribosomal RNA is filed under the name Enterobacter hormaechei. RNAcentral describes it as "bacterial SSU rRNA". It matches the Rfam family "Bacterial small subunit ribosomal RNA", at positions 922 to 1533 of the family's 1533-position model. Lineage: Bacteria; Pseudomonadati; Pseudomonadota; Gammaproteobacteria; Enterobacterales; Enterobacteriaceae. The record is from RNAcentral.
CGCACAAGCGGUGGAGCAUGUGGUUUAAUUCGAUGCAACGCGAAGAACCUUACCUACUCUUGACAUCCAGAGAACUUUCCAGAGAUGGAUUGGUGCCUUCGGGAACUCUGAGACAGGUGCUGCAUGGCUGUCGUCAGCUCGUGUUGUGAAAUGUUGGGUUAAGUCCCGCAACGAGCGCAACCCUUAUCCUUUGUUGCCAGCGGUCCGGCCGGGAACUCAAAGGAGACUGCCAGUGAUAAACUGGAGGAAGGUGGGGAUGACGUCAAGUCAUCAUGGCCCUUACGAGUAGGGCUACACACGUGCUACAAUGGCGCAUACAAAGAGAAGCGACCUCGCGAGAGCAAGCGGACCUCAUAAAGUGCGUCGUAGUCCGGAUUGGAGUCUGCAACUCGACUCCAUGAAGUCGGAAUCGCUAGUAAUCGUGGAUCAGAAUGCCACGGUGAAUACGUUCCCGGGCCUUGUACACACCGCCCGUCACACCAUGGGAGUGGGUUGCAAAAGAAGUAGGUAGCUUAACCUUCGGGAGGGCGCUUACCACUUUGUGAUUCAUGACUGGGGUGAAGUCGUAACAAGGUAACCGUAGGGGAACCUGCGGUUGGAUCACCUCCUUACCUUAAAGAA